GCCGGGUGUGGUGGCGCACACCUGUAAUCCCAGCUACUUGGGAGGCUGAGACACAAGAAUCUCUUGAGCCCAGGAGGCCAAGGUUUCAGUGAGCCAAGAUCGUGCCACUGCACUCCAGCCUGGGUGACAGAGCCAGACUCUGUCUCAA
Molecule: non-coding RNA, 148 nt
Filed under: Chlorocebus sabaeus (green monkey)
Lineage: Eukaryota; Metazoa; Chordata; Mammalia; Primates; Cercopithecidae
Source: Rfam by way of RNAcentral